GACGAACGCUGGCGGCGUGCUUAACACAUGCAAGUCGAACGGUGAUGCUCCAGCUUGCUGGAGUGGAUCAGUGGCGAACGGGUGAGUAACACGUGAGCAACCUGCCCCAGACUCUGGAAUAAGCGCUGGAAACGGCGUCUAAUACUGGAUACGAAACUGGCCCGCAUGGGCAUGGUUUGGAAAGUUUUUCGGUUUGGGAUGGGCUCGCGGCCUAUCAGCUUGUUGGUGAGGUAAUGGCUCACCAAGGCGACGACGGGUAGCCGGCCUGAGAGGGCGACCGGCCACACUGGGACUGAGACACGGCCCAGACUCCUACGGGAGGCAGCAGUGGUGAAUAUUGCACAAUGGGCGAAAGCCUGAUGCAGCGACGCCGCGUGAGGGAUGACGGCCUUCGGGUUGUAAACCUCUUUCAGCAGGGAAGAAGCGAAAGUGACGGUACCUGCAGAAGAAGCACCGGCUAACUACGUG
Molecule: ribosomal RNA, 468 nt
Filed under: uncultured bacterium
Lineage: Bacteria
Description: partial 16S ribosomal RNA
Rfam family: Bacterial small subunit ribosomal RNA
Source: RNAcentral